CCGUCAAUUCCUUUGAGUUUCAGUCUUGCGACCGUACUUCCCAGGCGGUGGACUUAACAGCUUCCCUUCGGCACUGGGGCAGCUCGAGGCCAUCCCAACACCAAGUCCACAUCGUUUACGGCCAGGACUACCCGGGUAUCUAAUCCGGUUCGCGCCCCUGGCUUUCGUUACUCACCGUCAGGUUCGUUCCAGUUAGACGCCUUCGCCACAGGUGGUCCUCCCAGGAUUAUAGGAUUUCACCCCUACCCUGGGAGUUCCUCUAACCUCUCCCGACCUCAAGUCUGAUAGUAUCUCCAGCAAUUCCCACAGUUAAGCUGUAGGAUUUCACCAGAGACUUAUCAAACCGGCUACGAACGCUUUAGGCCCAAUAAAAACGGCCACCACUUGAGCUGCCAGUGUU
Molecule: unclassified non-coding RNA, 400 nt
Filed under: uncultured fungus
Lineage: Eukaryota; Fungi
Description: sequence contains ITS1
Source: RNAcentral